UUCCAUCUGAAGGAAUCUGGAGACAGGUGCUGCAUGGCUGUCGUCAGCUCGUGCGUGAGAUGUUGGGUUAAGUCCCGCAACGAGCGCAACCCUUGCCUUUAGUUGCCAGCAGUUCGGCUGGGCACUCUAAAGGGACUGCCGGUGUUAAACCGGAGGAAGGUGGGGGAUGACGUCAAGUCCUCAUGGCCUUUAUGACCAGGGCUACACACGUACUACAAUGGCCGAUACAAAGGGCAGCGACACUGCGAGGUGAAGCCAAUCCCGUAAAAUCGGUCUCAGUCCGGAUUGGAGUCUGCAACUCGACUCCAUGAAGUUGGAAUCGCUAGUAAUCGUGGAUCAGCAUGCCACGGUGAAUACGUUCCCGGGCCUU
Molecule: ribosomal RNA, 370 nt
Filed under: uncultured Desulfobulbus sp.
Lineage: Bacteria; Pseudomonadati; Thermodesulfobacteriota; Desulfobulbia; Desulfobulbales; Desulfobulbaceae
Description: bacterial SSU rRNA
Rfam family: Bacterial small subunit ribosomal RNA
Source: RNAcentral